GAAACUGCCUGAUGGAGGGGGAUAACUACUGGAAACGGUAGCUAAUACCGCAUAACGUCGCAAGACCAAAGUGGGGGACCUUCGGGCCUCAUGCCAUCAGAUGUGCCCAGAUGGGAUUAGCUAGUAGGUGGGGUAACGGCUCACCUAGGCGACGAUCCCUAGCUGGUCUGAGAGGAUGACCAGCCACACUGGAACUGAGACACGGUCCAGACUCCUACGGGAGGCAGCAGUGGGGAAUAUUGCACAAUGGGCGCAAGCCUGAUGCAGCCAUGCCGCGUGUGUGAAGAAGGCCUUCGGGUUGUAAAGCACUUUCAGCGGGGAGGAAGGCGGUAAGGUUAAUAACCUUAUCGAUUGACGUUACCCGCAGAAGAAGCACCGGCUAACUCCGUGCCAGCAGCCGCGG
RNAcentral lists this ribosomal RNA (403 nucleotides) under Klebsiella pneumoniae. RNAcentral's name for it is "bacterial SSU rRNA". It matches the Rfam family "Bacterial small subunit ribosomal RNA", at positions 122 to 520 of the family's 1533-position model. The record is from RNAcentral. Lineage: Bacteria; Pseudomonadati; Pseudomonadota; Gammaproteobacteria; Enterobacterales; Enterobacteriaceae.